AUGCUGGAGGUAUCAGAAGUGCGAAUGCUGACAUAAGUAACGAUAAAGCGGGUGAAAAGCCCGCUCGCCGGAAGACCAAGGGUUCCUGUCCAACGUUAAUCGGGGCAGGGUGAGUCGACCCCUAAGGCGAGGCCGAAAGGCGUAGUCGAUGGGAAACAGGUUAAUAUUCCUGUACUUGGUGUUACUGCGAAGGGGGGACGGAGAAGGCUAUGUUGGCCGGGCGACGGUUGUCCCGGUUUAAGCGUGUAGGCUGGUUUUCCAGGCAAAUCCGGAAAAUCAAGGCUGAGGCGUGAUGACGAGGCACUACGGUGCUGAAGCAACAAAUGCCCUGCUUCCAGGAAAAGCCUCUAAGCAUCAGGUAACAUCAAAUCGUACCCCAAACCGACACAGGUGGUCAGGUAGAGAAUACCAAGGCGCUUGAGAGAACUCGGGUGAAGGAACUAGGCAAAAUGGUGCCGUAACUUCGGGAGAAGGCACGCUGAUAUGUAGGUGAAGUCCCUCGCGGAUGGAGCUGAAAUCAGUCGAAGAUACCAGCUGGCUGCAACUGUUUAUUAAAAACACAGCACUGUGCAAACACGAAAGUGGACGUAUACGGUGUGACGCCUGCCCGGUGCCGGAAGGUUAAUUGAUGGGGUCAGCGCAAGCGAAGCUCUUGAUCGAAGCCCCGGUAAACGGCGGCCGUAACUAUAACGGUCCUAAGGUAGCGAAAUUCCUUGUCGGGUAAGUUCCGACCUGCACGAAUGGCGUAAUGAUGGCCAGGCUGUCUCCACCCGAGACUCAGUGAAAUUGAACUCGCUGUGAAGAUGCAGUGUACCCGCGGCAAGACGGAAAGACCCCGUGAACCUUUACUAUAGCUUGACACUGAACAUUGAGCCUUGAUGUGUAGGAUAGGUGGGAGGCUUUGAAGUGUGGACGCCAGUCUGCAUGGAGCCGACCUUGAAAUACCACCCUUUAAUGUUUGAUGUUCUAACGUGGACCCGUGAUCCGGGUUGCGGACAGUGUCUGGUGGGUAGUUUGACUGGGGCGGUCUCCUCCUAAAGAGUAACGGAGGAGCACGAAGGUUGGCUAAUCCUGGUCGGACAUCAGGAGGUUAGUGCAAUGGCAUAAGCCAGCUUGACUGCGAGCGUGACGGCGCGAGCAGGUGCGAAAGCAGGUCAUAGUGAUCCGGUGGUUCUGAAUGGAAGGGCCAUCGCUCAACGGAUAAAAGGUACUCCGGGGAUAACAGGCUGAUACCGCCCAAGAGUUCAUAUCGACGGCGGUGUUUGGCACCUCGAUGUCGGCUCAUCACAUCCUGGGGCUGAAGUAGGUCCCAAGGGUAUGGCUGUUCGCCAUUUAAAGUGGUACGCGAGCUGGGUUUAGAACGUCGUGAGACAGUUCGGUCCCUAUCUGCCGUGGGCGCUGGAGAACUGAGGGGGGCUGCUCCUAGUACGAGAGGACCGGAGUGGACGCAUCACUGGUGUUCGGGUUGUCAUGCCAAUGGCACUGCCCGGUAGCUAAAUGCGGAAGAGAUAAGUGCUGAAAGCAUCUAAGCACGAAACUUGCCCCGAGAUGAGUUCUCCCUGACCCUUUAAGGGUCCUGAAGGAACGUUGAAGACGACGACGUUGAUAGGCCGGGUGUGUAAGCGCAGCGAUGCGUUGAGCUAACCGGUACUAAUGAACCGUGAGGCUUAACCUUACAACGCCGAAGGUGUUU
RNAcentral lists this ribosomal RNA (1693 nucleotides) under Escherichia coli. RNAcentral describes it as "partial 23S ribosomal RNA". It matches the Rfam family "Bacterial large subunit ribosomal RNA", at positions 1270 to 2925 of the family's 2925-position model. RNAcentral also lists the same sequence under 1 other name. The record is from RNAcentral. Lineage: Bacteria; Pseudomonadati; Pseudomonadota; Gammaproteobacteria; Enterobacterales; Enterobacteriaceae.